CGUAGGGUGCGAGCGUUAAUCGGAAUUACUGGGCGUAAAGCGUGCGCAGGCGGUUUUGUAAGACAGAUGUGAAAUCCCCGGGCUCAACCUGGGACCUGCAUUUGUGACUGCAAGGCUAGAGUACGGUAGAGGGGGAUGGAAUUCCGCGUGUAGCAGUGAAAUGCGUAGAUAUGCGGAGGAACACCGAUGGCGAAGGCAAUCCCCUGGACCUGUACUGACGCUCAUGCACGAAAGCGUGGGGAGCAAACAGGAUUAGAUACCCUGGUAGUCCACGCCCUAAACGAUGUCAACUGGUUGUUGGGUCUUUACUGACUCAGUAACGAAGCUAACGCGUGAAGUUGACCGCCUGGGGAGUACGGCCGCAAGGUCG
This 370-nucleotide ribosomal RNA is filed under the name uncultured organism. Its description in RNAcentral is "bacterial SSU rRNA". It matches the Rfam family "Bacterial small subunit ribosomal RNA", at positions 526 to 896 of the family's 1533-position model. The record is from RNAcentral.